Molecule: ribosomal RNA, 460 nt
Filed under: uncultured bacterium
Lineage: Bacteria
Description: partial 16S ribosomal RNA
Rfam family: Bacterial small subunit ribosomal RNA
Source: RNAcentral
CCUACGGGAGGCAGCAGUGAGGAAUAUUGGUCAAUGGGCGGGAGCCUGAACCAGCCAAGUCGCGUGAGGGAAGACGGUCCUAUGGAUUGUAAACCUCUUUAGGCGGGGAGCAAUGCCGGGCACGCGUGCCCGGAGGGAGAGUACCCGCAGAAUAAGCAUCGGCUAACUCCGUGCCAGCAGCCGCGGUAAUAGGGAGGAUGCGAGCGUUAUCCGGAUGUAUUGGGUUUAAAGGGUGCGUAGGCGGACUUUUAAGUCAGCGGUAAAAUGUCCGGGCUCAACCCGGGCCGGCCGGUGAAACGGGGGAUCUUGAGUGGGCGAGAAGUAUGCGGAAGGCGUGGUGUAGCGGUGAAAUGCAUAGAUAUCACGCAGAACUCCGAUUGCGAAGGCAGCAUACCGGCGCCCGACUGACGCUGAGGCACGAAAGCGUGGGGAUCGAACAGGAUUAGAUACCCGUGUAGUC